AUUGAACGCUGGCGGAAUGCUUUACACAUGCAAGUCGAACGGUAGAGGGGGGCAACCCCUUGAGAGUGGCGAACGGGUGAGUAAUAUAUCGGAACGUGCCCAGUCGUGGGGAUAACGUAGCGAAAGUUACGCUAAUACCGCAUACGAUCUAAGGAUGAAAGCGGGGGAUCGCAAGACCUCGCGCGAUUGGAGCGGCCGAUAUCAGAUUAGGUAGUUGGUGAGGUAAAGGCUCACCAAGCCAACGAUCUGUAGCUGGUCUGAGAGGACGACCAGCCACACUGGAACUGAGACACGGUCCAGACUCCUACGGGAGGCAGCAGUGGGGAAUUUUGGACAAUGGACGCAAGUCUGAUCCAGCCAUUCCGCGUGCAGGAUGAAGGCCCUCGGGUUGUAAACUGCUUUUGUACGGAACGAAAGGUUUCUAUUAAUACUAGGAGCUCAUGACGGUACCGUAAGAAUAAGCACCGGCUAACUACGUAGCCAGCAGCCGCGGUAAAGU
This 499-nucleotide ribosomal RNA is filed under the name uncultured bacterium. RNAcentral describes it as "bacterial SSU rRNA". It matches the Rfam family "Bacterial small subunit ribosomal RNA", at positions 30 to 526 of the family's 1533-position model. The record is from RNAcentral.